AUGGCCAAGCCGACGGUGCCUCGGAUGAAGCUGGGCUCGCAGGGGCUGGAGGUCUCCGCGCAGGGCCUCGGCUGCAUGGGCAUGUCCGGCAACUACGGCCCCGCGAAGCCAGACGACGACAUGCUCGCGCUCCUCCGCCACGCCGUCGCCGCCGGCGUCACUCUCCUGGACACCUCCGACGCCUACGGGCCCUUCACCAACGAGCUCCUUCUCGGCAGAGGAUGGUUAGCCUUGUGA
RNAcentral lists this ribosomal RNA (237 nucleotides) under Triticum aestivum (bread wheat). RNAcentral describes it as "partial small subunit ribosomal RNA". Lineage: Eukaryota; Viridiplantae; Streptophyta; Magnoliopsida; Poales; Poaceae. The record is from RNAcentral.